UACGUAGGGUGCAAGCGUUGUCCGGAAUUAUUGGGCGUAAAGAGCUCGUAGGCGGUUUGUCGCGUCUGCUGUGAAAACUCAGGGCUUAACCCUGAGCUUGCAGUGGGUACGGGCAGACUAGAGUGCGGUAGGGGAGACUGGAAUUCCUGGUGUAGCGGUGAAAUGCGCAGAUAUCAGGAGGAACACCGGUGGCGAAGGCGGGUCUCUGGACGACACCUGACACUGAGGCACGAAAGCUAGGGGAGCAAACAGG
Molecule: ribosomal RNA, 253 nt
Filed under: uncultured bacterium
Lineage: Bacteria
Description: partial 16S ribosomal RNA
Rfam family: Bacterial small subunit ribosomal RNA
Source: RNAcentral